RNAcentral lists this ribosomal RNA (709 nucleotides) under uncultured cyanobacterium. Its description in RNAcentral is "bacterial SSU rRNA". It matches the Rfam family "Bacterial small subunit ribosomal RNA", at positions 45 to 799 of the family's 1533-position model. The record is from RNAcentral. Lineage: Bacteria; Bacillati; Cyanobacteriota.
UGCUUAACACAUGCAAGUCGAACGAGGUUCUUCGGAACCUAGUGGCGGACGGGUGAGUAACACGUGAGAAUCUGGCUUCAGGACGGGGACAACAAGGGGAAACCCUUGCUAAUACCGGAUAUGCCGAAAGGUGAAAGAUUUAUCGCCUGAAGAUGAGCUCGCGACUGAUUAGCUAGUUGGAGGGGUAAGAGCCCACCAAGGCAACGAUCAGUAGCUGGUCUGAGAGGAUGAUCAGCCACACUGGGACUGAGACACGGCCCAGACUCCUACGGGAGGCAGCAGUGGGGAAUUUUCCGCAAUGGGCGCAAGCCUGACGGAGCAAUAUCGCGUGCGGGAGGAAGGCCCUUGGGUCGUAAACCGCUUUUGUUAGGGAAGAAAAUUUGACGGUACCUAACGAAUAAGCCUCGGCUAACUCCGUGCCAGCAGCCGCAGUAAGACGGAGGAGGCAAGCGUUAUCCGGAAUUAUUGGGCGUAAAGCGUCCGCAGGUGGCAUCUCAAGUCUGCUGUCAAAGCCCAGGGCUCAACUCUGGAUCGGCAGUGGAAACUGACACCCUAGAUUACGGUAGGGGCAGAUGGAAUUCCCAGUGUAGCGGUGAAAUGCGUAUGUAUUGGGAAGAACACCAGUAGCGACAGCGCUCUGCUGGGCCGUAACUGACACUCAUGGACGAAAGCUAUGGAGCGAAAGGGAUUGAUACCCCUGUAGUCCUAG